Molecule: ribosomal RNA, 463 nt
Filed under: uncultured bacterium
Lineage: Bacteria
Description: bacterial SSU rRNA
Rfam family: Bacterial small subunit ribosomal RNA
Source: RNAcentral
CCUACGGGGGGCUGCAGUCGAGAGGCUUCGGCAAUGGGGGAAACCCUGACCGAGCGACGCCGCGUGUGGGAUUGAAGGCCUUCGGGUCGUAAACCACUGUCAAGAGGGAAGAAGAGCUGAAUGGUGAAUUCAGAAUUGACGGUACCUCUGGAGGAAGCCCCGGCUAACUCCGUGCCAGCAGCCGCGGUAAUACGGAGGGGGCAAGCGUUGUUCGGAUUUACUGGGCGUAAAGGGUGCGUAGGCGGUUGCGAAAGUCUGGUGUGAAAUCUUCACCGCUCAACGGGAAGGGGUCACUGGAAACUACGCAACUUGAGAAUGGUAGAGGCAAGCGGAAUUCCUGGUGUAGCGGUGGAAUGUGGAGAUAUCAGGAAGAACACCGGUGGCGAAGGCGGCUUGCUGGGCCAUUUCUGACGCUGAGGCACGAAAGCGUGGGGAGCGAACGGGAUUAGAUACCCCUGUAGUC